UUAUUUCCNAUUCCCUUGAGUUGAUCUGGCUCGAACGAACGCUGGCGGCAUGCCUAACACAUGCAAGUCGAACGGGAUCCAGGCUUCGGCCUGGUGAGAGUGGCGGACGGGUGAGUAACGCGUGGGAACCUGCCCAAUGGUCUGGGAUAACCGCGGGAAACUGCGGCUAAUACCGGAUAAGCCCGAGAGGGGAAAGAUUUAUCGCCGAUGGAGGGGCCCGCGUCAGAUUAGGUAGUUGGUGGGGUAAUGGCCUACCAAGCCUACGAUCUGUAGCUGGUCUGAGAGGAUGAUCAGCCACACUGGGACUGAGAUACGGCCCAGACUCCUACGGGAGGCAGCAGUGGGGAAUAUUGGACAAUGGGGGCAACCCUGAUCCAGCAAUGCCGCGUGAGUGAUGAAGGCCUUAGGGUUGUAAAGCUCUUUUGGCGGGGACGAUGAUGACGGUACCCGCAGAAUAAGCCCCGGCUAACUUCGUGCCAGCAGCCGCGGUAAUACGAAGGGGGCGAGCGUUGUUCGGAAUUACUGGGCGUAAAGGGCGCGUAGGCGGCCGAUCAAGUCAGAUGUGAAAGUCCUGGGCUUAACCUGGGGACUGCAUUUGAUACUGAUUGGCUUGAAUUCGGGAGAGGAUAGCGGAAUUCCCAGUGUAGAGGUGAAAUUCGUAGAUAUUGGGAAGAACACCGGUGGCGAAGGCGGCUAUCUGGACCGACAUUGACGCUGAAGCGCGAAAGCGUGGGGAGNCAACAGGAUUAGAUACCCUGGUAGUCCACC
RNAcentral lists this ribosomal RNA (768 nucleotides) under uncultured bacterium. RNAcentral describes it as "bacterial SSU rRNA". It matches the Rfam family "Bacterial small subunit ribosomal RNA", at positions 1 to 799 of the family's 1533-position model. The record is from RNAcentral.